GCUGGCAUGGCUCAACUGGUAGAGCAGCUGACUUGUAAUCAGCAGGUUACGGGUUCAAGUCCUGUUGCCAGCACCA
RNAcentral lists this transfer RNA (76 nucleotides) under Clostridium bornimense. RNAcentral describes it as "tRNA-Thr". It matches the Rfam family "tRNA". From Rfam's summary of the family: Transfer RNA (tRNA) molecules are approximately 80 nucleotides in length. The record is from RNAcentral. RNAcentral also lists the same sequence under 1 other name. Lineage: Bacteria; Bacillati; Bacillota; Clostridia; Eubacteriales; Clostridiaceae.